CACGUAGGGCGCAAGCGUUGUCCGGAAUUAUUGGGCGUAAAGAGCUCGUAGGCGGUCUGUUGCGUCCGCUGUGAAAACCCGGGGCUUAACCCCUGGCUUGCAGUGGAUACGGACAGACUAGAGGUAGGUAGGGGAGAAUGGAAUUCCCGGUGUAGCGGUGAAAUGCGCAGAUAUCGGGAGGAACACCGGUGGCGAAGGCGGUUCUCUGGGCCUGUACUGACGCUCAUGCACGAAAGCGUGGGGAGCAAACAGG
Molecule: ribosomal RNA, 253 nt
Filed under: uncultured bacterium
Lineage: Bacteria
Description: partial 16S ribosomal RNA
Rfam family: Bacterial small subunit ribosomal RNA
Source: RNAcentral